Molecule: ribosomal RNA, 253 nt
Filed under: uncultured bacterium
Lineage: Bacteria
Description: partial 16S ribosomal RNA
Rfam family: Bacterial small subunit ribosomal RNA
Source: RNAcentral
UACAGAGGUGGCAAGCGUUGUUCGGAAUUACUGGGCGUAAAGGGCGCGUAGGCGGUUCGUCAAGUCCUGUGUGAAAUCCCCCGGCUCAACUGGGGAACUGCACAGGAAACUAGCGGGCUUGAGUUCGGGAGAGGGAAGCGGAAUUCCAGGUGUAGCGGUGAAAUGCGUAGAUAUCCGGAGGAACACCGGUGGCGAAGGCGGCUUCCUGGACCGACACUGACGCUGAGGCGCGAAAGCUAGGGGAGCAAACAGG